Molecule: ribosomal RNA, 492 nt
Filed under: uncultured bacterium
Lineage: Bacteria
Description: partial 16S ribosomal RNA
Rfam family: Bacterial small subunit ribosomal RNA
Source: RNAcentral
GAUGAACGCUGGCGGCAUGCCUAACACAUGCAAGUCGAACGGCAAGACAGUAAGCUCUUGCUCUUACCGGUGGCGGGUGGCGGGCGAGUAAGGCAUGGAUCGCAUUCUACUAUUUCGGGGGGGAUUACGUAGGGCAACUUACGCUACUACCGCAUACGUCGUACGGCUGGAUGCAGUAGUGCUACGUACCUUUCGCGUCUGAAUGAGACGAUGUCGGAUUAGCUAGUUGGCGGGGUAAAGGCACACCAAGGCAACGAUCCGUAGCUGGUCUGAGAGGAUGAUCGGCCACACUGGAACUGAGACACGGUCCAGACUCCUACGGGAGGCAGCAGUGGGGAAUAUUGCACAAUGGGCGAAAGCCUGAUGCAGCAAUACCGCGUGGGUGAAGAAGGCCUUCGGGUUGUAAAGCCCUUUUGUUGGGGAAGAACAAAAGUGUAAGUAUCCGCCGCUGUUUUGACGGUACCCAAAGAGAAAGCACCGGCUAACUUCGUG